This 541-nucleotide ribosomal RNA is filed under the name uncultured bacterium. RNAcentral's name for it is "bacterial SSU rRNA". It matches the Rfam family "Bacterial small subunit ribosomal RNA", at positions 355 to 896 of the family's 1533-position model. The record is from RNAcentral.
UGAGGAAUAUUGGACAAUGGUCGGAAGACUGAUCCAGCCAUGCCGCGUGCAGGAAGACGGCCUUAUGGGUUGUAAACUGCUUUUGCAGGGGAAGAAUAAGGACUACGCGUAGUUUGAUGACGGUACUCUGCGAAUAAGCAUCGGCUAACUCCGUGCCAGCAGCCGCGGUAAUACGGAGGAUGCGAGCGUUAUCCGGAAUCAUUGGGUUUAAAGGGUCCGUAGGCGGGCUAAUAAGUCAGAGGUGAAAGCGCUCAGCUCAACUGAGCAACUGCCUUUGAAACUGUUAGUCUUGAAUGGUUGUGGAGUAGUUGGAAUGUGUAGUGUAGCGGUGAAAUGCUUAGAUAUUACACAGAACACCGAUAGCGAAGGCAUAUUACUAACAAUUAAUUGACGCUGAUGGACGAAAGCGUGGGGAGCGAACAGGAUUAGAUACCCUGGUAGUCCACGCUGUAAACGAUGGAUACUAGCUGCAUGGACGCAAGUUUGAGUGGGUAAGCGAAAGUGAUAAGUAUCCCACCUGGGGAGUACGCACGCAAGUGUG